RNAcentral lists this long non-coding RNA (540 nucleotides) under Triticum aestivum (bread wheat). Its description in RNAcentral is "long non-coding RNA (TAES_LNC014310)". The record is from RNAcentral. Lineage: Eukaryota; Viridiplantae; Streptophyta; Magnoliopsida; Poales; Poaceae.
GCAGAGAAGGUGGUGGUUCCGGCAGGGCAGCUGCUCCCGGUGAUGGAGGGGGUGUCGCUGACUGACAGCCGCCAGCUUGCCCGAGGUGGCCUGCCACCAUUUUCAUGCCACUCACCUCUCCCUCGGUGAAUCCUUCCUUGUAAGAAAAUCUCUGUUGCUAAUUUGUUCUGCUUGUGAUGAUUGCAAACGGCUAGCAAUUAACCCCUCUUGCUUCUUCCUUGGAGUGGGACUGACUGGCUGUAAAUCUCUUACACUGAGCACCUGAGCUGGAAUGUCAGAUAUCUUUUGUUAGAACAACAUGCCUCGACUAACUGAGAAAUAGCCAAGUAAAGAGGAAUUGUGCUUACUCAAAUGGAGUGCAAACUACGUUACCACAGUUACUCAUAUGCAAAACGUCCUGGACUCCUGGCUGUAUUUAUUAUUCCUGAUGAUUGGGUAUCUCCAAUGUAUGCAGAUCCAUGGUGGAUCAAGUGGAAUCGGUACAUUCGCUAUACAGAAUUCAAAGCACUUUGCAAAUGUACACAUGAGACAUUAUUCUUU